RNAcentral lists this ribosomal RNA (498 nucleotides) under uncultured bacterium. Its description in RNAcentral is "partial 16S ribosomal RNA". It matches the Rfam family "Bacterial small subunit ribosomal RNA", at positions 28 to 507 of the family's 1533-position model. The record is from RNAcentral.
GAUGAACGCUGGCGGCGUGCCUAAUACAUGCAAGUCGAGCGAACAGAUGAGGAGCUUGCUCCUCUGACGUUAGCGGCGGACGGGUGAGUAACACGUGGAUAACCUACCUAUAAGACUGGGAUAACUUCGGGAAACCGGAGCUAAUACCGGAUAAUAUAUUGAACCGCAUGGUUCAAUAGUGAAAGACGGUUUUGCUGUCACUUAUAGAUGGAUCCGCGCCGCAUUAGCUAGUUGGUAAGGUAACGGCUUACCAAGGCAACGAUGCGUAGCCGACCUGAGAGGGUAGGGCGCCCCCCCUGACACAGAGCCCGGCCCCGCCCCCUUCGGGGAGGCGCCAGGCGGCAUUCUUCCCCAAGGGGGGAACCCUGGACGGACCACCCCGGAGGGAUUAAUGAAGGUUUACGGUUCUAAAAAUUUUUUUUUUAGGGAAGAACAAAUUUUUACUAAAAUAUACCCUUCUGGAGGUUCCCUAACCAAAAGCCCAGGGCUAACACGGUG